RNAcentral lists this ribosomal RNA (839 nucleotides) under synthetic construct. RNAcentral's name for it is "bacterial SSU rRNA". It matches the Rfam family "Bacterial small subunit ribosomal RNA", at positions 54 to 873 of the family's 1533-position model. The record is from RNAcentral. RNAcentral also lists the same sequence under 1 other name.
NNUGCAAGUCGAGCGGCAGCGGGAAAGUAGCUUGCUACUUUUGCCGGCGAGCGGCGGACGGGUGAGUAAUGCCUGGGGAUCUGCCCAGUCGAGGGGGAUAACUACUGGAAACGGUAGCUAAUACCGCAUACGCCCUACGGGGGAAAGCAGGGGACCUUCGGGCCUUGCGCGAUUGGAUGAACCCAGGUGGGAUUAGCUAGUUGGUGAGGUAACGGCUCACCAAGGCGACGAUCCCUAGCUGGUCUGAGAGGAUGAUCAGCACACUGGAACUGAGACACGGUCCAGACUCCUACGGGAGGCAGCAGUGGGGAAUAUUGCACAAUGGGGGAAACCCUGAUGCAGCCAUGCCGCGUGUGUGAAGAAGGCCUUCGGGUUGUAAAGCACUUUCAGCGAGGAGGAAAGGUCAGUAGCUAAUAUCUGCUGGCUGUGACGUUACUCGCAGAAGAAGCACCGGCUAACUCCGUGCCAGCAGCCGCGGUAAUACGGAGGGUGCAAGCGUUAAUCGGAAUUACUGGGCGUAAAGCGCACGCAGGCGGUUGGAUAAGUUAGAUGUGAAAGCCCCGGGCUCAACCUGAGAAUUGCAUUUAAAACUGUCCAGCUAGAGUCUUGUAGAGGGGGGUAGAAUUCCAGGUGUAGGNNUGAAAUGCGUAGAGAUCUGGAGGAAUACCGGUGGCGAAGGCGGCCCCCUGGACAAAGACNNNNNGCCNCAGNUGCNAAAGGCNGUGGGGGNNNCAAACAGGAUUAGAUACCCUGGUAGUCCACGCCCGUAAACGAUGUCGACUUGGAGGUUGUGCCCUUGAGGCGUGGCUUCCGGAGCUAACGCGUUAAGUCGACCGCCC